UAGUUCCACUAGGGGAGCGAAUUGCUGAGACAAGGUACCAAGCCUUGGACCCUCGAACCUGAUCUGGGUGAUGCCAGCGUAGGAAAGUGGAGAUUGGUUGUC
RNAcentral lists this non-coding RNA (102 nucleotides) under Alicyclobacillus sp. RNAcentral's name for it is "TPP sequence". It matches the Rfam family "TPP riboswitch aptamer (THI element)". Rfam says of the family: Vitamin B(1) in its active form thiamin pyrophosphate (TPP) is an essential coenzyme that is synthesised by coupling of pyrimidine and thiazole moieties in bacteria. Lineage: Bacteria; Bacillati; Bacillota; Bacilli; Caryophanales; Alicyclobacillaceae. The record is from RNAcentral.